Molecule: ribosomal RNA, 302 nt
Filed under: uncultured bacterium
Lineage: Bacteria
Description: partial 16S ribosomal RNA
Rfam family: Bacterial small subunit ribosomal RNA
Source: RNAcentral
GCAGUAGCCACGGGAAUACAGAGGGUGCGAGCGUUAUCCGGAUUUAUUGGGUUUAAAGGGUCCGUAGGCGGAUCUGUAAGUCAGUGGUGAAAUCUCACAGCUUAACUGUGAAACUGCCAUUGAUACUGCAGGUCUUGAGUAAAUUUGAAGUGGCUGGAAUAAGUAGUGUAGCGGUGAAAUGCAUAGAUAUUACUUAGAACACCAAUUGCGAAGGCAGGUCACUAAGAUUUAACUGACGCUGAUGGACGAAAGCGUGGGGAGCGAACAGGAUUAGAUACCCGCGUAGUCCCUGUCUCUUAUAC